AACGAACGCUGGCGGCAUGCCUAACACAUGCAAGUCGAACGAGACCUUCGGGUCUAGUGGCGCACGGGUGCGUAACGCGUGGGAACCUGCCCUUAGGUUCGGAAUAACUCCCUGAAAGGGGUGCUAAUACCGGAUAAUGUCCUCGGACCAAAGAUUUAUCGCCUUUGGAUGGGCCGGCGUUGGAUUAGCUAGUUGGUAGGGUAAAAGCCUACCAAGGCGACGAUCCAUAGCUGGUCUGAGAGGAUGAUCAGCCACACUGGGACUGAGACACGGCCCAGACUCCUACGGGAGGCAGCAGUGGGGAAUAUUGGACAAUGGGCGAAAGCCUGAUCCAGCAAUGCCGCGUGAGUGAUGAAGGCCUUAGGGUUGUAAAGCUCUUUUACCCGGGAUGAUAAUGACAGUACCGGGAGAAUAAGCACCGGCUAACUCCGUG
RNAcentral lists this ribosomal RNA (433 nucleotides) under uncultured bacterium. RNAcentral's name for it is "partial 16S ribosomal RNA". It matches the Rfam family "Bacterial small subunit ribosomal RNA", at positions 29 to 507 of the family's 1533-position model. The record is from RNAcentral.